AUUAAAAAGAAGGAAUCUAAGACUAUUUUAAAAAUUUCUCUCAAUGAUUUAAUAUUUGGGUUUUAUGUAUUUUAUUCCAUUUUAGCACUGUGAGAUAGCAUGAUUGCCUAAAGGACUGUAUUAAAGAUGAGUGCACAGUUCUGUCUUAUUUAUCUGCUGUCACAUUGUUUUGACACAGAAGAAAGUCAAGUAACAUUGAUGAAGAGCUAAAAUAUGCUCUAACUGUGGAAAAAAUAAAUAUAAAUUGUCCAUAGUUGCUCAAUUUCUAAAGUAAAAGGAAAAAAUACAGUGUAAGACUGUGAAUUAGUUCAGGAAGGUAAACUUAAGUAAUGUUUAUUUAACUUCAAGAUUUCAGUGGCUUAACUCAACAAAGGUCUGCUUCUUCUGCAUGUCACGGGACAAUGCUGGUUGGUAUGGAUGGCUCUUCUCCAUGCAGUAAUUCAGAGACACAGGCUUCUUUCAUCUAGUGAUUUAUUUUUCCCUGCAGCUUCAGAUACUCUUUUUCCCUCUCUCUGGGAUCCUUUGCAUCUGUCUGGCAGAUAUGGAGACGGAAAGCACAAGAGGAUUGUGUUAGGAGUCUUAAGGGCUGGAUGUGACACUCCUUGAAAGGGAAGCUGGGGAAUGAGUAUGUAGGUGUGUGUCCAGGAUGUAGGGAAAAUGGGUUUGGUGGGGACAGCACUUCCUGGAAUAACGUUGCUUUGGAUUUAACAACAGUUGGGCAAAGGAGGUCGGUAUACAGAUACAGGACAAGAAGAGUGGUGUCAAAGGGAGGCUAAAUCAUUGGUUCUGGCUUCAUCUAAGGAAUUCUUAUGAGAAAUCGAGGGAGAGACUGUCCUGGGAAGUCUGAUGAAACAUAGCCCUCACAGAGAAACUUCCCUCCUGGUUAACUGGACCCAGGCAUGAGUCUUCGUUGAAACCGUGGGAGGAAGAAGAGUUUUACCAAUCACCAGUGCUGAAGAAAUCUCUCCUUUCUGGGCAGGAUGAGGGAAUCACUAAAUGACGACCAGAAUGAAAGUUCUAUGUCUACCCAGUGCCAAGUUCACCAUCUCUGUAACUAUUUGUUGGAUGAAUAUGUGAAUGAGUAGAAAAUAAAUCAACAUACUUUUUCAUCAAGACAGUAAAGUGGGCAGUGUUAAACUCUUAGGGUGACACAGACGAUUGCUUUAAAGAAAAAAUCAUAAAGAGUGAAAAAAUAGAAGACUUGGCUUAUGGUGUGGUGGCAUUUGACCAACUGUUCUUGUUGAGGUAGUGAUUUUUGAGGCAUCUGGUUUACAAACACCUCAAGGGUAUAGCCCAAACUUGGCAUCUUCUGGUAGUGGCAGAACACCCAGUAUUCAGGGCAUUGUUAAGUAUGACAAAGGGAGAGUCAAUAAAUCUCAAAUGCAUUC
This 1388-nucleotide long non-coding RNA is filed under the name Homo sapiens (human). RNAcentral describes it as "HSALNT0378223". The record is from RNAcentral. Lineage: Eukaryota; Metazoa; Chordata; Mammalia; Primates; Hominidae.